Non-coding RNA from Oryza sativa Japonica Group (Japanese rice), 1777 nucleotides. Lineage: Eukaryota; Viridiplantae; Streptophyta; Magnoliopsida; Poales; Poaceae. The record is from RefSeq and is a predicted model, not a curated record.
GUCGGCUCUCCUACCUAGCCGACAAGCUUGGCGGCGUGGAGCGAGGGGAUGGCCGACGAGGUCUCUCUUCUCAGUCCUCCCUCUCCUUUCCCUUCUGGUGCAGAGCACGUGUAGGCCCUACCUAACGAGGAACAUGUGAAGUUGUGACCCAAAUUGACUAUGUGAUCUUGAAGAGUUGUGUGAUUAGACGACGUGGAUAUAAAUAUUUGGUUUUCGGUGUUGAGGUAAACGCCUCCUCUGUUGAAAAAGAGUACACAGACUCUCGUCUGGAUUCUGGAUCUGGAUCUGGAUCUGAUCCAACUCCCACCCAACUCUCCAAGUACGGCAGCAGCACUGGCUACUGCGGAGGAGGCGUUGCGACUUGCGAGUGGCGGAGGACUAGGAAGUCGCCUCCGCCUCCGCUGCAGACACACUGGCGAUGGCUUCCUCCUUCGCCGCCGUCUUCUUCAGCAGCGCCUUCGCUGCCUGCUUCGCUGAGGUGUGCACCAUUCCUCUCGACACAGCCAAAGUGCGGCUUCAGCUGCAAAAGAAAGCAGCCCUAGCUACAGGCGGAGGAGGAGGGACCACUGGAGGAAUGCUGGGCACAAUAAUGUGCAUCGCAAGGGAGGAAGGGGUGGCCGCGCUUUGGAACGGCAUCAUCCCUGGCCUUCACCGCCAGUGCGUCUAUGGCGGACUCCGCAUCGCCUUGUAUGAGCCUGUCAGUGAAAGCCUUCUUUAUCCGAGACGGAGAUACUGUUGCUGGUGGUGUCAGUUUAUUUGCUAAGAUCCUUGCUGCUCUUAUGACAGCCAACCAGUUUACAUCCAAAUUUCAUGUGUUAAGGACUUAAGGUAGGUGCACUAUGCACAAGUAAAUAUACUCUUAUAUUAAUUACCGUUCUAUAUAUUCAUAGGUGUCAUAGCAAUUGUUGUGGCAAAUCCAACUGAUCUUGUCAAAGUGAGAUUGCAAGCUGAUGGAAAGGCCACCACUGUCAAGAGGCACUAUUCUGGAGCCCUCAAUGCGUAUGCUACCAUAAUCAGACAGGAAGGUAUUGGAGCUUUGUGGACUGGCCUCGGUCCAAACAUAGCACGCAAUGCUAUAAUUAAUGCUACCGAGUUGGCCAGCUACGACCAACUCAAACAGCUGGACUUGGUGCUGGAUUUUUUGCUGUUUGCAUUGGCUCUCCAGUGGAUGUGGUGAAAUCAAGAAUGAUGGGUGACGCAACGUACAAGAGUACACUAGACUGUUUUGCAAAGACAUUAAAGAAUGAUGGACUUCCUGCUUUUUAUAAAGGGUUCAUUGCAAACUUUUGCCGCAUUGGGUCAUGGAAUGUGAUAAUGUUUUUAACACUGGAGCAGGUAAGAAGAUCAAUUCUGUAAGUCUGCUGCACUGCACUGCAAGCCAAGGAUCUAUCAUGCAAGUGAACAGCAGGAGCAGGACUGAAUCGAUGCUUGAUUUAGCUGUAGCUCCUGAGUCCACUUUAUAGUGCUGUUUGCUGAAGGCCACAUAUGUCUAGGAUUAGAUUUGUUUUGUACAGGACAAUGCGUUCUAAUUAAACCCAUCAAUUCAGCAGAGGACAACAUCAACAGAGUCAUUUGUGCAGAGAUGAUUGGCCAUAACAUGUCAUUGUACUGUCUGAGCAAUUUUUUAAUUUUACCAAAAAUGAAACUCACAAAAUCUAAUGCAAAUAUAGGUUACUCUUGGUAGUAAUUUCAUGUAUCCGAGGUUUGUAAACAAUAUGAAAGGAAGUUGUGACUUAAACUUGCUUUUGCAUCAUCUAUUGAGCGCGAGUUUCUCGAA